RNAcentral lists this ribosomal RNA (119 nucleotides) under Helianthus annuus (common sunflower). The record is from RNAcentral. Lineage: Eukaryota; Viridiplantae; Streptophyta; Magnoliopsida; Asterales; Asteraceae.
GGUUGCGAUCAUACCAGCACUAAUGCACCGGAUCCCAUCAGAACUCUACAGUUAAGCGUGCUUGGGCGAGAGUAGUACUAGGAUGGGUGACCCCCUGGGAAGUCCUCGUGUUACAACCC